AGUUUGCACACCAAAGCAGCGGGGGAGGCCGGCCUCCUUACCUUUUUGGUCCUGUUGAGGAAGUUUCUGCCUGGGCUUGGGUAUUCAGUUUGGAAGUUUAAGCAUUUGAGUCUGGAUCUCCACAAACUGGGGAUGCUUGAUUAGAAAGCACAAGAGGGCAUCCUUCUUCAUACCUCUGCUAGGCAAAUUGUAGAACACUCCAUGAUCAAUCCAGCAGAAGACUUCCUUCCUUAGCAACCACAUCCCCACCCCCACCCCCCCAACCCCCAAAAGAGCAGCAGGUCACAAGUGAAUCAGUCACAGAAGGAAGUCAGGGCAGCUUGUGUCUCUGACUGUGGGCCCGGAUUGAAAUAACUCACACCCUUUAAAAACUUAAGCAAGCCAUCUGACCCUGACACGCGUGAUAGUUUAUGACAGAGUCAAUUGAUCAGGAACAAUGAGAAGCAAAGAUUAGCAAGCGAGGCAUAUAGUGUGAUGCCAGCACCCAGCGUGGUGUUCCACAGCCUUGAAUAAAGAAUUGACAAACAAAACAUCAAAAAGAUUCAUAGACACUAUUAUUUACAAUAUGUGUUUCAAAACUAAGAAUGGGCAAUUAAAUAGUCAUUAAAAAAAAAAAAAAAACCUGAGGAAUCAAAGCAGGCCCUACAAUCUGCCUGAAAUGGAGAUUGCCCUGCUUUCUGACUCUCAGUCUGAACUUGACUGCCUGCUGUUGGCUUGGUCUUUGAUGAAAAAUUCCAUUCUGUCUCCCAAACCAUUUUUUCUUAAAGGCCAGGAAAGGGAGAGUGAUUGGCAGGCCUCUGGUAGUGUAGACAGGCUGUAUUCGGUGCUGAUUGCCCAAAAUUGCCCUCAUCCUCUGACUGUGAAGAAAGCUACAGCUUUAUCUUGCUUCGAGUCAGACUCAACCUUAAUCCUAGACUCUGGGCCAGUCACUGAGCCAGAUGAUGCUUUCCCAGGCUGCACCAGGAGUUUCCCUCCCUGGGUUAGAGUGUCUGACAACUACUGGCCAACACAACUGAGGAGAGAGAGUCCAUGUUUAUGAGAAUGUUGUAAAUGCCUCCUUUCUUUCUCCUUGCCCCGAGCAUGAAGAGAUCCUUUUCAACCUAGCUUGUUUCACUAAGUGUACACUUGGCCCAUGUAAAACCAAGGAGUGACACAUUUGGAAGUAGAGUCUAUGGUCUGUCUGGUUUCUAGCAAACAUGGGUUGUUGGAAUUUAGUAUGCAGACAUCUUUUCUCCUCUUUCUGUAGAAUGGCUGCAAGAGCACUUAGUCACAUUUUCUAGACACAAAACUUUUAGUUGUUUUGAAGUCUCUAUUU
This 1315-nucleotide long non-coding RNA is filed under the name Rattus norvegicus (Norway rat). RNAcentral's name for it is "long non-coding RNA NONRATT030201". Lineage: Eukaryota; Metazoa; Chordata; Mammalia; Rodentia; Muridae. The record is from RNAcentral.